RNAcentral lists this small nucleolar RNA (86 nucleotides) under Pan paniscus (pygmy chimpanzee). RNAcentral describes it as "Small nucleolar RNA SNORA40 (ENSPPAG00000009577.1)". It matches the Rfam family "Small nucleolar RNA SNORA40", at positions 44 to 128 of the family's 128-position model. From Rfam's summary of the family: The snoRNA ACA 40 belongs to the H/ACA family of snoRNAs and guides the pseudouridylation of 28S rRNA subunit at position U4565. NB This family has a high threshold value to exclude a large number of closely related sequences that do not appear to have conserved H and ACA boxes, and may be pseudogenes. Lineage: Eukaryota; Metazoa; Chordata; Mammalia; Primates; Hominidae. The record is from RNAcentral.
UAGACAGGUACAAAAAAAUCAAUCCUCUUUUGCAAUCCAGAACUCAUUGUUCAGUAUAAGUUUUGCUACAAAUAAGAAGGGGUAUU